UGAGGAAUAUUGGUCAAUGGGCGCAAGCCUGAACCGGCCAUCCCGCGUGCAGGAAGACGGCCCUAUGGGUUGUAAACUGCUUUUCCAGGGGGAGAAUUUUUCUGUCGUGACAGGAAUUGACGGUACCCUGGGAAUAAGCAUCGGCUAACUCCGUGCCAGCAGCCGCGGUAAUACGGAGGAUGCGAGCGUUAUCCGGAUUUAUUGGGUUUAAAGGGUGCGUAGGCGGAUUGAUAAGUCAGUGGUGAAAACCUGCAGCUUAACUGUAGACUUGCCGUUGAUACUGUCAGUCUUGAGUGUGGUCAAGGUAGGCGGAAUGUGUAAUGUAGCGGUGAAAUGCUUAGAUGUUACACAGAACACCGAUUGCGAAGGCAGCUUGCUGGGCCAUUACUGACGCUGAUGCACGAAAGCGUGGGGAUCGAACAG
Molecule: ribosomal RNA, 423 nt
Filed under: uncultured bacterium
Lineage: Bacteria
Description: bacterial SSU rRNA
Rfam family: Bacterial small subunit ribosomal RNA
Source: RNAcentral